Long non-coding RNA from Melospiza melodia melodia, 681 nucleotides. RefSeq lists it as uncharacterized. The transcript is spliced from 2 exons. Lineage: Eukaryota; Metazoa; Chordata; Aves; Passeriformes; Passerellidae. The record is from RefSeq and is a predicted model, not a curated record.
UGGGGCAGUCCCUGUGAGGACAGACAGACACUGCGGGUGGACACCACCCCAGGCACAGCUCUCUGCUACCCCAUGGAUCCCAUAGGCCCCAGGAGGCUGCUCAUGGAGGCUGCAGUGGGUAUCUGGGUAUUUCUGCAGAAAAUGAACACUCCUGGCUCUGAGCAAGCAAGCAGGGCUGGAGGAACAGGCAGGUACCCAGGGCAGGCCCUGGGAGGUGUGUUGUGGUGUGUUGUUCUGAUGCACUCUAGGCAAUCCCUAAAUGCAGCACACACUUGCAUUUGAGCUGCUCCAAAGCUGCACAGGCUCCUCUCCCAGAGAGGUUUGUUGAGCCACCAUGGGCUGUCAGGUCCUGGCUGGAGCAGCUCAGGGUCCUGGGAUGGCUGACAAAAGAGGCCUGGGCUGUCCCCAGGUCACCCUGCUCCUCCUGUGACUUUACCCAGCCCGUGCACAGAUCCCACUUCUCCUCUGGGGCUGCGUUUUCUGCAGCCAAAUAUUCCCAACACAUUCUCUACCUAAUGACAUUAUUUUUCAUCAUUAGGUAUUGCAGUAGAAACAAGGAUUUGGCCAGAAGCAGGUCCUGUUUAAAGCUAAAAGGAGAUCCCGAGUGGAGAAAGAAGAUUCUGUCUAACACUGCAAUUCAGAGCAUUUUGCUGGCUGGUAGUAAAAAGGGAAUGAAACUGG